This 651-nucleotide ribosomal RNA is filed under the name uncultured Lachnospiraceae bacterium. Its description in RNAcentral is "bacterial SSU rRNA". It matches the Rfam family "Bacterial small subunit ribosomal RNA", at positions 62 to 728 of the family's 1533-position model. The record is from RNAcentral. Lineage: Bacteria; Bacillati; Bacillota; Clostridia; Lachnospirales; Lachnospiraceae.
UUUUAUUGAAGCUUCGGCAGAUUUAGAUUGUUUCUAGUGGCGGACGGGUGAGUAACGCGUGGGUAACCUACCUUAUACAGGGGGAUAACAGUCAGAAAUGACUGCUAAUACCGCAUAAGCGCACAGAGCUGCAUGGCUCGGUGUGAAAAACUCCGGUGGUAUAAGAUGGACCCGCGUUGGAUUAGCUAGUUGGUGAGGUAACGGCCCACCAAGGCGACGAUCCAUAGCCGGCCUGAGAGGGUGAACGGCCACAUUGGGACUGAGACACGGCCCAGACUCCUACGGGAGGCAGCAGUGGGGAAUAUUGCACAAUGGGGGAAACCCUGAUGCAGCGACGCCGCGUGAAGGAAGAAGUAUCUCGGUAUGUAAACUUCUAUCAGCAGGGAAGAAAAUGACGGUACCUGACUAAGAAGCCCCGGCUAACUACGUGCCAGCAGCCGCGGUAAUACGUAGGGGGCAAGCGUUAUCCGGAUUUACUGGGUGUAAAGGGAGCGUAGACGGAUGGACAAGUCUGAUGUGAAAGGCUGGGGCUCAACCCCGGGACUGCAUUGGAAACUGCCCGUCUUGAGUGCCGGAGAGGUAAGCGGAAUUCCUAGUGUAGCGGUGAAAUGCGUAGAUAUUAGGAGGAACACCAGUGGCGAAGGCGGCUUA